UGGGGAAUAUUGCACAAUGGGCGCAAGCCUGAUGCAGCCAUGCCGCGUGUGUGAAGAAGGCCUUCGGGUUGUAAAGCACUUUCAGCGAGGAGGAAGGUGGUGAACUUAAUACGUUCAUCAAUUGACGUUACUCGCAGAAGAAGCACCGGCUAACUCCGUGCCAGCAGCCGCGGUAAUACGGAGGGUGCAAGCGUUAAUCGGAAUUACUGGGCGUAAAGCGCACGCAGGCGGUUUGUUAAGUCAGAUGUGAAAUCCCCGGGCUCAACCUGGGAACUGCAUUUGAAACUGGCAAGCUAGAGUCUCGUAGAGGGGGUAGAAUUCCAGGUGUAGCGGUGAAAUGCGUAGAGAUCUGGAGGAAUACCGGUGGCGAAGGCGGCCCCCUGGACGAAGACUGACGCUCAGGUGCGAAAGCGUGGGGAGCAAACAGAUUAGAUACCCUGGUAGUCACGCUGUAAACGAUGUCGAUUUUGGAGGUUGUGCCCUUGA
RNAcentral lists this ribosomal RNA (486 nucleotides) under uncultured bacterium. RNAcentral's name for it is "partial 16S ribosomal RNA". It matches the Rfam family "Bacterial small subunit ribosomal RNA", at positions 355 to 835 of the family's 1533-position model. The record is from RNAcentral.